UACGAAGGGGGCUAGCGUUGCUCGGAAUCACUGGGCGUAAAGCGCACGUAGGCGGAUUGCUAAGUCAGGGGUGAAAUCCUGGAGCUCAACUCCAGAACUGCCUUUGAUACUGGCGACCUUGAGUCCGGGAGAGGUGAGUGGAACUGCGAGUGUAGAGGUGAAAUUCGUAGAUAUUCGCAAGAACACCAGUGGCGAAGGCGGCUCACUGGCCCGUAACUGACGCUGAGGCACGAAAGCGUGGGGAGCAAACAGG
This 253-nucleotide ribosomal RNA is filed under the name uncultured bacterium. RNAcentral describes it as "partial 16S ribosomal RNA". It matches the Rfam family "Bacterial small subunit ribosomal RNA", at positions 524 to 776 of the family's 1533-position model. The record is from RNAcentral.